Amaranthus tricolor (Joseph's coat) is the source of this 725-nucleotide long non-coding RNA. RefSeq lists it as uncharacterized. The transcript has 3 exons. NCBI's taxonomy places the organism in Eukaryota, Viridiplantae, Streptophyta, Magnoliopsida, Caryophyllales, Amaranthaceae. The record is from RefSeq and is a predicted model, not a curated record.
UUAUGUCAAUUAUGGUAAGUACCGGUUUUUACAGAUAAGCUAUUGAGUUUGAUUCUCGUUGUCCCCUCUCUUAGCCCUUCCCUUCCCUUCACUCAGCUCAUCUUGUAGGCAAAAGAAAAGUAUUCAAUUUCAAAUUCACCAAAUAAGCUUUGUGCAAGUCCAUUUCAACUAUUUGUCCUAUUUUCUAGACUUGAGCAAAAUUUAUUUUUCGAGUACACAAUGAAAGAUUACAAAGUGACUGGGUCAAGCAAAAGCUACAUCCAAUUACAUCACCAAGGAGACUAGGAGUGUAGGACCAAUAUGCUACAUUCAUGUCUUAACAAUAAUUUCACAAGAUGCUUCAUCAAUGCCCUUGUUGAAUAAAAACAAAAAUCAUGGGUCCAAAGCUCAAAAUUUCCAAUUUCCAUGACUGAUGAGGAAAGGCAAGAGCCAAGAAGAAGAUAUUUUCUUGAAUCAAAUGUAUGUCUAACUCAGAAAUUACUAUGCAAGGUUAUCCACAAAAGAGACAAUUUUAUCGGCUUAACCAUUAUUUUAGGCUUUUGGUUAAGUUGGUUUCUUAACAACGCCGGCUAUUUUAAAAUAUCGAGGUUGUGACGGAACUUCAAGUCCAACAGAAUUGCUACUUAGCAUUAAAUCAAUUGAAGACAUUGUUGGUCUAUCACUUGGGUUGGCUUGAAUACACAAUAAACCAAUAUGUAUGCAUCUCUGAAUCUCGAAACUCGAGC